UAAUACGUAGGUGGCAAGCGUUGUCCGGAAUUAUUGGGCGUAAAGCGCGCGCAGGUGGUUCCUUAAGUCUGAUGUGAAAGCCCCCGGCUCAACCGGGGAGGGUCAUUGGAAACUGGGGAACUUGAGUGCAGAAGAGGAUAGUGGAAUUCCAAGUGUAGCGGUGAAAUGCGUAGAGAUUUGGAGGAACACCAGUGGCGAAGGCGACUGUCUGGUCUGUAACUGACACUGAGGCGCGAAAGCGUGGGGAGCAAACAGG
RNAcentral lists this ribosomal RNA (256 nucleotides) under uncultured archaeon. RNAcentral's name for it is "partial 16S ribosomal RNA". It matches the Rfam family "Bacterial small subunit ribosomal RNA", at positions 521 to 776 of the family's 1533-position model. The record is from RNAcentral.